UCGCGAAUAAGCCACGGCUAACUACGUGCCAGCAGCCGCGGUAAUACGUAGGUGGCGAGCGUUGUCCGGAUUUAUUGGGCGUAAAGAGCCCCGCAGGCGGCUUGGCAAGUUUCGAGUGAAAAUCUCCCCGGCUCAAACUGGGAGGGCGCUCGGAAAACUGCCAGGCUUGAGGCAGGGAGAGGGAUGUGGAAUUCCCGGUGUAGUGGUGAAAUGCGUAGAUAUCGGGAGGAACACCAGUGGCGAAGGCGGCAUCCUGGCCCUGUCCUGACGCUCAGGGGCGAAAGCGUGGGGAGCUAAACCGGUAUUAGAUACCCGGGUAGUCCACGGCCGUAAACGAUGAGUACUAGGUGUAGGGGUUAUCGUACCCCCUCUCGUGCCGAAGCUAACGCGUAUAAGUACUCCGCCUGGGGAC
This 412-nucleotide ribosomal RNA is filed under the name uncultured bacterium. Its description in RNAcentral is "bacterial SSU rRNA". It matches the Rfam family "Bacterial small subunit ribosomal RNA", at positions 480 to 880 of the family's 1533-position model. The record is from RNAcentral.